UUCUUAUCGAGAGCGGCGGAGGGACUGGCCCGAUGAAGCCCGGCAACCGUCUUGCGGGGAGGCGUCUCCUCACCCGGGGCAUGAGGUGGAACCCGGAUAAGAGAACUUCCCCGCGGGAUCUGGUGCCAAUUCCUGCGGAACGCGCUGAAUGCGAU
RNAcentral lists this non-coding RNA (155 nucleotides) under Hydrogenibacillus schlegelii. RNAcentral's name for it is "SAM-I sequence". It matches the Rfam family "SAM riboswitch aptamer (S box leader)". From Rfam's summary of the family: The SAM riboswitch is found upstream of a number of genes which code for proteins involved in methionine or cysteine biosynthesis in Gram-positive bacteria. The SAM riboswitch acts at the level of transcription termination control. The record is from Rfam by way of RNAcentral. Lineage: Bacteria; Bacillati; Bacillota; Bacilli; Thermicanales; Thermicanaceae.